AGCGAACGCUGGCGGCAGGCUUAACACAUGCAAGUCGAGCGGGCGUAGCAAUACGUCAGCGGCAGACGGGUGAGUAACGCGUGGGAACAUACCUUUUGGUUCGGAACAACACAGGGAAACUUGUGCUAAUACCGGAUAAGCCCUUACGGGGAAAGAUUUAUCGCCGAAAGAUUGGCCCGCGUCUGAUUAGUUAGUUGGUGAGGUAAUGGCUCACCAAGGCGACGAUCAGUAGCUGGCUGAGAGGAUGAUCAGCCACAUUGGGACUGAGACACGGCCCAAACUCCUACGGGAGGCAGCA
RNAcentral lists this ribosomal RNA (298 nucleotides) under uncultured bacterium. RNAcentral's name for it is "partial 16S ribosomal RNA". It matches the Rfam family "Bacterial small subunit ribosomal RNA", at positions 29 to 353 of the family's 1533-position model. The record is from RNAcentral.